RNAcentral lists this long non-coding RNA (516 nucleotides) under Sorghum bicolor (sorghum). Its description in RNAcentral is "long non-coding RNA (SBIC_LNC000345)". The record is from RNAcentral. Lineage: Eukaryota; Viridiplantae; Streptophyta; Magnoliopsida; Poales; Poaceae.
CUUCAUCUGGUGAAGCUUGGCUGGAUCGAACUAGUCGAUUUGAUGCUAGCUGUUUGUGGCCAUCUAUCAACACUUUUUUGGUCAAGUCUAUCAACACUUUCCCCUUACUAACUACACUUAAUAAGUAUGUUUAAUUCAAGGGCUUCAGCUGAUUUACUGUGUAUUGAAUGGUUCUAUCUCGGUAUCUGCGUUCAGAAAUAGCUCCGUUCGUCCAAUUCGCUGAAUAUUCACUCCACCCUAGUCGUAUCUGACUCGUCUUUGGUGAGUGAGGUCAUGCCAAUUCCAACGCAAACUAGUCGUAGCACUCAGUCGUGGUUCUCGAUUACUAGUAACUAAAUCAAAACCAUGUUUUUGGUGCUGUUAGGGAGAGAUCACUGGUUGUUCCUUCUAAGGUGCCCAAACACUGAUUAGCUGGACAUGACAGCAUGCACAAGAAUUUCCCCCUGUAGGAGCCUAGGAGCUUGUGGGGGUGGGCUCAGAAUAGUAGGCUGAACGAAUCUAUGAAGCCUUCUGAAG